Molecule: ribosomal RNA, 497 nt
Filed under: uncultured bacterium
Lineage: Bacteria
Description: partial 16S ribosomal RNA
Rfam family: Bacterial small subunit ribosomal RNA
Source: RNAcentral
GACGAACGCUGGCGGCGUGCCUAAUACAUGCAAGUAGAACGCUGAAGAGAGGAGCUUGCUCUUCUUGGGUGAGUUGCGAACGGGUGAGUAACGCGUAGGUAACCUGCCUGGUAGCGGGGGAUAACUAUUGGAAACGAUAGCUAAUACCGCAUAAAAUUGAUUAUUGCAUGAUAAUUAAUUGAAAGAUGCAACUGCAUCACUACCAGAUGGACCUGCGUUGUAUUAGCUAGUUGGUGAGGUAACGGCUCACCAAGGCGACGAUACAUAGCCGACCUGAGAGGGUGAUCGGCCACACUGGGACUGAGACACGGCCCAGACUCCUACGGGAGGCAGCAGUAGGGAAUCUUCGGCAAUGGGGGGAACCCUGACCGAGCAACGCCGCGUGAGUGAAGAAGGUUUUCGGAUCGUAAAGCUCUGUUGUAAGAGAAGAACGGGUGUGAGAGUGGAAAGUUCACACUGUGACGGUAUCUUACCAGAAAGGGACGGCUAACUACGUG